UCCGUAGUAAACUGUGAUAUGUAGUCGA
This 28-nucleotide non-coding RNA is filed under the name Bombyx mori (domestic silkworm). Lineage: Eukaryota; Metazoa; Arthropoda; Insecta; Lepidoptera; Bombycidae. The record is from RNAcentral.